This 250-nucleotide ribosomal RNA is filed under the name uncultured bacterium. RNAcentral describes it as "partial 16S ribosomal RNA". It matches the Rfam family "Bacterial small subunit ribosomal RNA", at positions 524 to 773 of the family's 1533-position model. The record is from RNAcentral.
UACGGAGGGUGCAAGCAUUAAUCGGAUUUAUUGGGCGUAAAGGGCGCGUAGGCGGAUUGUUAAGUCAGAUGUGAAAUCCCGGGGCUCAACCUCGGAACAGCAUUUGAAACUACCGAUCUAGAGGGUAGGCGGAGAAAACGGAAUUCCACAAGUAGCGGUGAAAUGCGUAGAUAUGUGGAAGAACACCGGUGGCGAAGGCGGUUUUCUAGCUUACUCCUGACGCUGAGGCGCGAAAGCAAGGGGAUCAAAC